UACGGAGGAUGCGAGCGUUAUCCGGAUUUAUUGGGUUUAAAGGGUGCGUAGGCGGCUUUUUAAGUCGGCGGUGAAAUUUUGCAGCUUAACUGUAACAGUGCCGUUGAUACUGGGGAGCUAGGAUUUGGUUGCUGUGGGUGGAAUGUGUGGUGUAGCGGUGAAAUGCUUAGAGAUCACACAGAAUAUCGAUUGCGAAGGCAGCUCACAAAGCCAAGAUUGACGCUGAGGCACGAAAGUGUGGGGAUCAAACAGGAUUAGAUA
RNAcentral lists this ribosomal RNA (261 nucleotides) under uncultured prokaryote. Its description in RNAcentral is "partial 16S ribosomal RNA". It matches the Rfam family "Bacterial small subunit ribosomal RNA", at positions 524 to 784 of the family's 1533-position model. The record is from RNAcentral.